UGGGCAGGUUGAAGGUUGGGUAACACUAACUGGAGGACCGAACCGACUAAUGUUGAAAAAUUAGCGGAUGACUUGUGGCUGGGGGUGAAAGGCCAAUCAAACCGGGAGAUAGCUGGUUCUCCCCGAAAGCUAUUUAGGUAGCGCCUCGUGAACUCAUCUUCGGGGGUAGAGCACUGUUUCGGCUAGGGGGUCAUCCCGACUUACCAACCCGAUGCAAACUACGAAUACCGAAGAAUGUUAUCACGGGAGACACACGGCGGGUGCUAACGUCCGUCGUGAAGAGGGAAACAACCCAGACCGCCAGCUAAGGUCCCAAAGUCAUGGUUAAGUGGGAAACGAUGUGGGAAGGCACAGACAGCCAGGAUGUUGGCUUAGAAGCAGCCAUCAUUUAAAGAAAGCGUAAUAGCUCACUGGUCGAGUCGGCCUGCGCGGAAGAUGUAACGGGGCUCAAACCAUACACCGAAGCUACGGGUAUCACGUAAGUGAUGCGGUAGGGGAGCGUUCUGUAAGCCUGCGAAGGUGUGCUGUGAGGCAUGCUGGAGGUAUCAGAAGUGGGAAU
RNAcentral lists this ribosomal RNA (559 nucleotides) under Aquiflexum gelatinilyticum. RNAcentral describes it as "partial 23S ribosomal RNA". It matches the Rfam family "Bacterial large subunit ribosomal RNA", at positions 737 to 1295 of the family's 2925-position model. The record is from RNAcentral. Lineage: Bacteria; Pseudomonadati; Bacteroidota; Cytophagia; Cytophagales; Cyclobacteriaceae.